Molecule: non-coding RNA, 8051 nt
Organism: Phasianus colchicus (ring-necked pheasant)
Lineage: Eukaryota; Metazoa; Chordata; Aves; Galliformes; Phasianidae
Source: RefSeq, a predicted model, not a curated record
GCGGCAGGCCGAGCCGCGUCACGCAGGCACGGAGCCGCCAAGGCCGAACGGAAACGCUACUCCAGCGGCGGCCGGAACCGGGACCACCAUAUUUGGCGUUUCCACCUCGCCUUUUAUGGUACUUCCGAGGCCCAAAAAAGGCGCUUCCUGCUUCCACCCUCCCGGGACUGCGCGAUGGAUUUUCCGGGAGCCCGCUGCCGUGAGAGCUGCUGCCGCCUCGGUGCGGUUCCGCCCUCGCCCCGGGGGCGACACGGCGGGUUCCUUGCGCGCGGCGGGCCCCGAAUUGGCCGCGGGAGGCUCUGGGUUUGGGCAGCGUCUGCUUCGCCCGGAGCCCAGCGGUAGGCCCGGAGCCGUUCGGACGCCCAGCGCAGGGAGCUGCGGCUGAGGGCCCCUGACCUUCCCUCGCUCCGUGUGUCGGUGCGGUUUCUUUCGUAGGGGCUUUGUCGCUUUGUGCACGUCCGCCAGAAAUAGGUACGGCGCAUUUUAACCCGAGGAAUGCUGAAGAGCCCGUUGCCCACGUUCAGCUAGGCUUUUCUUCUGUAGAGCCUUUCCAUAAGCUGCUGUUCGCUUGGCGAAGUGGGGGCGGUCCUUGCCCAGGUGGUUGUUUUGUUCUUCUUGCACUGCUCGGCCUCAGAAUCUUUCUAGAAGAAUAGAUUCUUCAGCCGCUUUCCGUUUAGGAAUAGAGGGCUAUAAGUCAGCUCUGGUGAUUCUGAAGAACCUACCUUCCCCUUGUGUGCUGUGUGGCCUGUUGCUUUGUGCCUUGUUGUGUUCUGGAAGUGCUACUAGAGAUAAAAGUUGUUAAAUACAACUGUAAAGCAAUUUUAGUUGCGGCUGUGGAUUGAAAGACAAGCACUCCGUAGUGAAUGAGUUUAGUUCUAGCACUUCUGAUGGCGGUUCUUACGUAGUCAGAAAUCUGACAAAGUUCAAGGAAACGUACAGCACAGCAGCGUUUUGGUUGAUUCUGUUGGUUAAAGGUUUCGGCUGUGGUUCUUAUUUUUGUGUAAGUAAGCUUGAGGUGGUAAGAAAUUCCAGGUGUACUCAGGUGAACUGGAAAGCUGCUAUGAGUCAUGGAAUUUAAUGGCAGAAGCUUUCUGUAAUUCUGACAUUCUUCUCAAGGACAAGGGCAUUUUGUGAACAAAACUAGGUCCCAGGAGUUGCAGCUGUGGCUGUAACAUGCCAGAGGUCUGUGGUGCCAUAAAGUGAACACACAAAGAUCUUUAUUUUUUAAAAUGUGUCAGCAUGAAAAUGGAAUAGCUAAUAAGUAAGCAAAUGUUGAUUAAAAACUUGCUAAGAAAACUGUCGUAAUUGAUCAAAAGAAAUCCAGUUUCUGGUCUGUUGUUAGAGGUAGUCCUGGAAUAUUCUUCGAGCAGUUGUGACCUGUGGUUAAUAAAUUUCACGAGCUGGAGCCUCUCUUUGUGUUUUUUGUGUAACUCUAUCCAAAUGAUUUAUGUAGUUGGCAAGGUGACAGUAUUCAUGGUAUUUGAUUGAAAAGUGAGUAUUAGCAUAUCCAGGUGCUACAAGAAGUAGAGACUUGUGUGUGCUUAAACUCUCUACUUCAUAAUGUAGUUUGAUUACUAUUAAGACUUAUUGCAGAACAUGAAGAAUAAUAUAGUUUCUGUGAUAGGGGAAACCAAGUUCUGUAGCUUCUUUGUGCUCUUUGUGGUUGAAGAAGCAUAAUCUGUUUUGUACAGUGAGUAGUUUGUACCUCCUGUCAUCCUUUCCCGUACCUUGUGUCAUUCUCCUUUAUUGUUUCUGAUAAGUAGAGGCCUGCACUAUCCACAGUAUUCAACAUGUCCCUGCUUGAGCAGGUUUGGCCAGAUGACCCCCAGAGGUUCCUUCUAACCUAAACCACUCCGUGAUUCUCUGAUGUAGGAUGAAUAUAAAUUAAUUGAAGUAUAUAUUUUUGUCUCCUAUGUUGUUUAUUACUUGCCAGGUAUUUCCAGACAUUCCAUCUGGCUUUUGAGCAGUGAUCUGAUCACUCCAGUCACUCCAGAGUGUGUGGAGACAAAGUAGUGAGAGUUGGCAGAAGUGAAGAGAGGAAAUAUGGCAACAGGUGAACCUCAAAUAACUAUUAGUGCAAUAAAUUCAAGAUUAUUGCAUGUAGAAUGGAAACCAGAGAGAAAAAAAGCCUCUGGAGAGAAGUCUUUUGCAUUAUGGGGUGUCUUGUUGUUGGAAUCCUGUGUUACAGGAAGUUGAGGCUGCCUUGUAAACUAAAGUCUUUAUGUUAAAAAAAAAAAAAAAAAAAAAAAAAAAAGUUAACAGUAAAAUAUUCCCCACUUGUAGGAUGUGUUGUGUUUAGUAGUUCUUGUAGUAGUACAGUAGGGUCUCAGGUGUUCCUUUUCUUGCUUGGAGGAAGGCACCUCUGUGAAUAUAUUUCCUUAUUGCAACAUAUUUUUAUAUGGGAAGGACAGACCAAACACCCUGCAGUUUCUGCUUUUGAAAGGCAGUGGCAGUGAAUGGGUGAAACACUAGGUGAGAGAAGGCUGUCAUUGUUAUCAUAACCAGCAGACCAAAGAGAGAGGAUGGGAUGCUCUGUCUGAAUUUGUGCAAAAUGACACAGUUGUCAUGGCAGGAGAUACAGACAGAGUACAUACUCUUUUUCUCUGAAGAUGAAGUUGCCACCAUUUCAGUCCUUAUCACAACUUUAAGAGAGAGUACUAUUGUGGUGAAACACUGUUAACAAGCUUUUAAACUUAUUUUACUGUUUAUCGCCUACCUUUGCAUGUCAAACCUCCGUAUUAUUUCACAAAAUUUAUUCUGUUGGUCAAGGGGUAAAGGACUGUGGUGUUGCUGCUUAUUGAAAGGCGUCUUGUAAGUUCCUCUUGAGCACAAUACAGAAACCACUGUGUAACAUCCCAUCUCUUGCAUCUCUGUUCUCUCUUCCUGUCUCUUUUUCAUCCAUAACGCUAAUCCAGAGCACAGUGUUUGGAGUCACUGUGGCAUACAACCAAGAGCAUUUGUGGCUGUCCAACGAGAACCUGAUUGUGAAGCUUCAGGCUUGCUGUUGAGGCUAUCUUGUUUGUCAGGAAUUCGAUUCCAGAGUGAGUUUUUUGAAGAAGCAAGUUCCAGCAGUCACUCACAUCCAGGAUGUAGUUUCUCACAGCAGAAAGCUUUCUAAGGAGAACAAGAAGCAGCUCUCUGACAUGAUGAUGCUGAACAAGCAAAAGGGAACUUGAAAGCUUUGAGGGAAGAGAAGAGGGGAGGAAAAAGCUGGAAGCCUGUCGACAUCUUUUCUACUUCCUUCAGGUAUGCAGCUUCUUGUGCUGCUCCUAGUGCACUCCUCUUGUCAUAGAGGCUUCUGUGUGUCAGCGCAGUCUUUGCAAUGCGCUGCAGCAUUGGGGCAUCACAGUUCUUUGUGGCGCUGGCCUUUGUGGACACAUGCACCAAGCAUUUUUCUUCUUGUUGUAGACUAGCCUGGUGUAGUUGGGCAAGCUGAUUUUUUCAGAUGCCUAAAAGCAAAUGCACAGAGUUCAUGGAUUUGGUCAUCUCCACGCUGUGUAACUGUGCGUCCAGUCAGAGAGAGGAAUAUCUGCUGUGUCAGCUUUCCCAAACAGCGCUGCUGGAGGAGAUCAGAUUUGAGUUGUGCCCUGGAACAGAAUGUACAGCUGAAUCUAGAACAGUUGCCAAAGAGGAGUCUGUGGGCAAAUGGUGCUGGAUUUCCCAGACGGAGGUCGUAAAGUUUCUUGCCUCCUCACAAAGUGUUCUCAUAUUUUUCUUAAAUAGCAUUGCAUGUUACUGCUGUACUGAGACUUUUAUGACAAAUCCAUUAUCUGUUUCCCAAAGGUGAUGCUGAGAAGCAUGCCUCAUGAUGACCUAUGCAUACCUCACGUUUCAUAUUAAUUCUUCCUUUGGGUCAAAAGUAGAUCAAAUCCUUGAAACGGCGCUGAAUACCUGUCCCACUGUUAUUAAAAUAGUUCACCUGUGGUGCCUGUGGUCAGAAUGCCCUGUGGCAGGUCCUGGCACCAGUUGUGAAUGAAAGAACUGAUGACAAAUUGCUUGAUAUCAUGACUGAUCCAGUGGAUAUUUACAAACCUCAGGUGACCCGGGUGGGAUCUCAGAGUGGUGAGGCCAGGUACGGUAGCUGCUACUACUGUGUUACUUAUAAGAGUUGCUUGGCUGUUUUGCAUUGCUCUUGUGAGAGGUAGAUUGUGUUUUUGCAGUAGAAGCUUCCAGUAUUUUCUGUAUGUAGUAUAGGCCUUUACUGAGAUUGCAACCCUCUUGUGAAAUAGCUGUUUUCUUUCCACUAAGUAAGUUGCUGAACAGAGUAAAAAGUUAAGAUUUGGGGCAUUCUGACUGGGGUAGAAUUGAGCCAGGCACAAGGUAAGGCAAAUAUGCAGGGUGGGGAGAGAGCCCAGCACAGGACAGAACGAAUGUGCUCACUCUUGGAAUUAUUGCCCUCCAUGGAAGAAUACAAAACGUACCCAAGAAACAACAGGUUGGUAAUGGACCUUAUCUGCAAAUGUAUCACAGCAACAGUGUUGGGGAAAUAAUGAGCCUGAGAUGCUUAAUGAGUGAGCACCAGGAGAGCAUUAUUUGCAUCGGGUUUAGAGUAUAGAACAGAAUGAAUUUCGAAGACCGGUGUGCAAUUUCUCCCUUGCCAAUAGGGUGCGCCCGUUACUGUAGUAAUGAUUAAACUGCUGCUAUCAGUAAGAUCCUUGUCUAACCUGAAAUUUUUGGCUUUCAGUGUUUCUCACAAACGUGUAACCGAAACCAAAUUUGGUUAAUUGUUCCAAGCCGUCCUGGGCUUGGCUGCAUACAUCUGUCCGAUUGAUACCAGCUUUUUUUAUCACCUCAGACGCUGGCUGAAAAAAAUUGAAUAAUAAAAAGCAUGACAACAUCAAUUUGCUGGUUAUUUAUUUAUUGACAUAUAUUCAGAAGCACAUAGUGCAGGUUCGGUGGGUUUGUCGAAGAUGUCCUUGGUUUUCUUUGUCGUUUUCCCUUCCCACCCUUUCUCUUCUGUGUUUUUCCUCUGCCGUUAAAAGACAAGCGAUCGCUGGGUGCUGUGGUGCAGAUCCACAUCAAUCCUACAGGUGAAGUUAUUUCCACGGUCUCUGCUGCCAUCGCGGGGCCAAUCGGCCAAACUGCAUCGAAGUUGUUUUUGUGGUCUGUGGUGCCCUCUCGUGGCUAAUUGCGGGAACUGCGGAUAAUUUGUUUCUGCUGUCUCUGAUGCCCCCUCGUGGCCAAUUGAAGAAACAGCGAAGAAGCUGUUUCUGCCGUCUCCGGUGCCCCCACGUGGCCACUCGAUGGAAUUGCGGCAGAGUUUGUAUGUUGUUGCAGGGAGCAGGACGCAUGCGCUUAAACACGCGGAGGUGGUGUACGUACGUUCUUGUCCCUCUGCGCAAACGAUCCGCCCAUCUCUGUUAUGCAUAGUCCUCCAGGCAGCAGUGCGCAUGCACCAGAAAGUUUUAAAUAGCAUACAUUUUCGCGAACUCCUGAGAUGCGGGCGAGCAGUCUAUUGUUGGACCGCCGACUCAGCAAUGGGUUUCUCUCUUCCAAUCCGCAGUGCACCUUGUCUGUUUUCUUGGGCGGUUUUAUUCCCGAGUCUGCUACGAGAACGGACGAUUUAGGCUCGCAGCAGGCCGUGCAUCCGUCAAAUGCCUAGCUGUGUGUCCGAAAAUGAGCAUACGUAACCAUGUGUGUGCGCUGCCGCGUGCGCAGUCCAGUGCCCAGGAAAGCGCAUGCGCACUCCGGUGCCGGGACUGGCGCGCGUGCACUCCAGUAGCAAAAAUACCGCAAGAAGAGUGCGGUGCGAAAACUGAUACGUGCGCAGUGCUGAGCCGAGGCUGGCGCAUGCUUAGUAGGGAGCUAACGUACUGAGGUGCCCAGUGGGUCGCAUGCGCAGUGCAGUGCCGAGACUGGCGCAUGUGCAAUCCCGAGCGGACUACGACGCAUGGACAUUGCGGGACCGCGGAUGGCACAAGCACGGCGCGGAACCACGGCUGGCGCAUGCGCAGUGCGGUGCAAAGGCUGGUACGUGUGCAGUGCAAGAAGGUGGCGCAUGUGCAGUGCGGUGCGAUGAAAGGCGCAUGCGCAAUGUGAUUCAGAGACAAACGCAUGCGCAAUGCCAUGAGAAUGCCGGCGCAUGCGCAGCGCUCCAACGCGCUUCUCGCAUGCACAGUACGGUAUAAAAGAUGGCGCAUGCAUUGUCUGGUCCCGACUUUCGCGCAUGUGCAUUGUUGUGCCCAGGAUAGCGCAUGCGCACUGAGUUACGUACUUCCGCAUGCGUAGUACUGUGAAAAGGACGGCGCAUGCGUUUUGAGGACCCACUGCAGCGCAGUGCAGUGGGCUGGCAUGCGCAAUUGCAAUGCCGAAGCUAGCGCAUGCGCACUGCGGGGUCGAGAGUGGCGCACGCACCGUGCUGGGCAGAAUCCAGCGCAUGCGUAGUGCUUUUUCUUUUUUUAAGACAGGCGCAUGCGUGGCACUAUGUCGUGUCGCAUGCGCAGUGCGUAUAGAGUCUGCUCAUGCGCAGUGCGGGACCGACCCAGGCGAAUGCGUAAUGCUUUCUCGUGAAUCACGCGUGCGUACUGUUGUCUGGGGAAUUGCACCUGCGCGGUGCGGCACAGAGGCUGCCGCAUGCGCAGUGCAGUUUCUAGAUUCAUACGUGCGUUUAACUAUCCCGAGACUUGCUUUUAUAAGAGUGCAGCACGCCAGUGCCGCGACGGCGAAUGUCCGAGCUGCUCGCGUUCCAUUGUCGCUGACAGUGCUUGUAAACGGCUGGGGGAUGGUGCAGGGCUUGGGGUGGAAGGGGACGUCUGCGAUUCUACUGAGACAGCGAGCAAAUUGGAUGCCACGAGGUGCUGAGGGCAGCUGUGAGUCAAACCCGUCCGCUCCCGAGUGGGCUCGGGCAUAAAUCGGCGGAAACAGACGAGGGGCAUCCUGGAUUAGAAGGGGAGAAUAUCGCUGAGCCGGCGGUCCGAGAAUCGACUGCUUGCCCGUCCCCGUAGUGUGACUUCAGCAAUCCCCUGUUGUGCCGCAGCAGAAAUGGGGUACUGCAGUACGUCAGUGAUCUCUGACUCGAGGAGUGCAGGGGCUGCACGAAGUACGCACUCUACAGCCUCCCUAUUUCUCUGGGAUUUGGGAUUGAUGUUUGAGCCAAAAGGCUACACAGUGCCAUGUGGGCAGGUGCCAGGUUCACCCACUGAGGAACCAAAUCCUAAAAUAAUUUCACAAUGGUCUUUAAUUGCUGUGCAAGUAGAUGACACAGAUUUCUCACAGGGGAGCCAUUAGCUGACACUGGCAGUUUGGCAGACAGCAUUCGCUCCAUUCACACCGGUAAUCUCAGCCCCCUCAGAAGUUGCACAUGCAGCUUCUCAGCAUCUUGCUGUAUCAGUAUAGAAAUCUGUGCUCCCCUAUUUAUUAGAAAUGCCACCAAUUGCCAUUGAGGACAGACUGGAAUCAAAACAUGUGGACCAUCCUAGCUUGUCCAUUGAUACCCCCCCCCCGGCCAGACAGGCAGACCCAAUUGGCUGCCAGUCAUUACUUCAUCCCCCUUUUUUUUUUUUUUUCAUGCUUUUAUGGGAACUUUGAGAUCACAGCCGAAAGCAGUGAUGGAGAACCUGGUGUGGGGUGUAGCCCUGCAAGCACAGGUGGAAGCAAUGCACCUAGAGGACCAGAUGAGGCUGAGCCUGGCUCCAGCCCCUCCCUCUCCUCAUUUAAAGGCUGGCAGCUCUUAAAGGCUGGGUUUCUUCCUGGAGACUGCCUCCUGUGGAUUGUUGGGUAAGCUCUGGUUCUUGGAAAGAGCUAGCUCUGCAGCUAUGGGACCCACCAGUGUGAUGAAGCAGUACCUCUGGUGUGCUGAAUACUGGCACUGGCACAGAGAGGCUCUAUGGCUGAUGUGAAUCUUCCUGACUGGACUACUUGGUGAGUUUCCCCAGAGCUGUUGAGCACACAGGCUUCCCCACCUACCCUGACUGCUCACCAGGCCAUCGGAUGUCAUUUGUGGGCAUGGCUUCAGGUAUCAUACCAGAGACUCCUUAGAGUCACAGAAUGUCCCGGGUUGGAAGGGACCUCGAGGAUCGUGAAUCUCCAACCCCCCUGCUACGUGCAGGGCC